GACGAACGCUGGCGGCGUGCUUAACACAUGCAAGUCGAACGGAAAGGCCCUGCUUUUGUGGUGUGCUCGAGUGGCGAACGGGUGAGUAACACGUGUGUAACCUGCCCUUGACUUUGGGAUAACUUCAGGAAACUGUGGCUAAUAUCGUAUAGGAUCUCCUGCUCCAUGGUGGGGGUUGGAAAGUUUCGGCGGUUGGGGAUGGACUCGCGGCUUAUCAGCUUGUUGGUGGGGUAGUGGCUUACCAAGGCUUUGACGGGUACCUGGCAUGAGAGGGUGAACGGACACAUGGGGACUGAGAUACGGCCCAGACUCCUACGGGAGGCAGCAGUGGGGAAUAUUGCACAAUGGGAGGAAGCCUGAUGCAGAAACGCCGGGUGCGGGAUGACGGCCUUCGGGUUGUAAAAAGCUUUAGCCUGUGACGAAGCGUGAGUGACGGUAAUGGGUAAAGAAGCACCGGCUAACUACGUG
Molecule: ribosomal RNA, 468 nt
Filed under: uncultured bacterium
Lineage: Bacteria
Description: partial 16S ribosomal RNA
Rfam family: Bacterial small subunit ribosomal RNA
Source: RNAcentral